CAGCAGCCGCGGUAAUACGUAGGUGGCAAGCGUUGUCCGGAAUUAUUGGGCGUAAAGGGCUCGCAGGCGGUUUCUUAAGUCUGACGUGAAAGCCCCCGGCUCAACCGGGGAGGGUCAUUGGAAACUGGGAAACUUGAGUGCAGAAGAGGAGAGUGGAAUUCCACGUGUAGCGGUGAAAUGCGUAGAGAUGUGGAGGAACACCAGUGGCGAAGGCGACUCUCUGGUCUGUAACUGACGCUGAGGAGCGAAAGCGUGGGGAGCGAACAGGAUUAGAUACCCGGGUAGUCCCUGUCUCUUAUAC
Molecule: ribosomal RNA, 301 nt
Filed under: uncultured bacterium
Lineage: Bacteria
Description: partial 16S ribosomal RNA
Rfam family: Bacterial small subunit ribosomal RNA
Source: RNAcentral